ACAACCAUAUCGUUGGUUGAAAUUCAAACUAACUUUUUGGUUGUUUCGAACUAAACUUUUGUUGUUACUAAAUCGCAUUGAUGGUUAAAUCAACCAGCGAUUUCAGUUUUAAACAAUCUAUAAAAUAUUGUUGCUACAAAGCAAACUUUGUUUGCUUCAAACAAAUAUUAUUGUUGUUACAAAUAAAAUUGUAGGUUAUUUAAAACAAUAUGUGGGUUGUUUUCGUUGGCCUAAUUUAUUAUAUUUAACAAAGUCAGUUAUACUUUCAGUGUCAAAAGACGCCAUCAAAGCAAAAUCGUCUGAGAUUAUUUUUAAUUAAGUUCCAGAUUUUUUAUUUAUUCGAUAACUUGUUAGGACCCGACUACAUAUCACCAAUCACCAUGACAGUGUGUGCAUCGUAUUCGCGGUUUUGGGGAAACUCGUACACUAUGACGAGAAACAGAUUUUGCUUCAUAUAUACAACGGUAGUUCAAAACAUACAACACAAGCGAGCAUUAAUUAUUCUUCGAAACAUCAGGUCAUCGCGGCACCAGAAGAUUAUACAUAUUCGAUCAUAGAUGUAUCUAAAUUAAUUUGAAGGAUAAUAAUAAAUUGAAUCUAUGUAAAUUAAAAUAAAAAAAAAGCUUUUCAAGAAUUAAAAGGAAAAUAUAAACAAAAAAGGUGGAUGGAAAACCUGCUAU
This is a long non-coding RNA of Armigeres subalbatus, 680 nucleotides long. RefSeq lists it as uncharacterized. Lineage: Eukaryota; Metazoa; Arthropoda; Insecta; Diptera; Culicidae. The record is from RefSeq and is a predicted model, not a curated record. The transcript is spliced from 3 exons.